GUGGAAGCAGCGGUGGAGGAGGAGGAUGAGGUAGCCAACACUGUUUUAUAUAUAUAUAUAUAUAUAUAUAUUUAUUUUUUUAAUUGGGGUAGCCCCAAAAAUAUUGGGACAUAAUAAAAAAGACAACUCCGUUCCGCAGAGUAGCUGUUGACAAUAUAGUUGCGCAGGCACUUUGUUGACUCUAGCGCACCUCGGGCCAAUCUCACAUCCCCGUGGCGGCGACUUUGCAUGCGGAUGUCAUCCAUAUCAACUUUUGAUCCCGGUUUCUGCGCCUACCAUGGUGACCACGGGUAACGGGGAAUCAGGGUUCCAUUCCGUACAGGGACCCUGAGAAACGACUACCACAUGCAAGGAAGGCAGCAGGCGUGCAAAUGACCCACUCCCGACGAGGGAAGGUAGUGAC
Non-coding RNA from Pelobates cultripes (western spadefoot toad), 403 nucleotides. The record is from the annotation of a GenBank genome assembly. NCBI's taxonomy places the organism in Eukaryota, Metazoa, Chordata, Amphibia, Anura, Pelobatidae.